CUGGCGGCAGGCCUAACACAUGCAAGUCGAACGGUAACAGGAAGCAGCUUGCUGCUUCGCUGACGAGUGGCGGACGGGUGAGUAAUGUCUGGGAAACUGCCUGAUGGAGGGGGAUAACUACUGGAAACGGUAGCUAAUACCGCAUAACGUCGCAAGACCAAAGAGGGGGACCUUCGGGCCUCUUGCCAUCGGAUGUGCCCAGAUGGGAUUAGCUAGUAGGUGGGGUAACGGCUCACCUAGGCGACGAUCCCUAGCUGGUCUGAGAGGAUGACCAGCCACACUGGAACUGA
This 290-nucleotide ribosomal RNA is filed under the name Enterobacter cloacae. Its description in RNAcentral is "partial 16S rRNA". It matches the Rfam family "Bacterial small subunit ribosomal RNA", at positions 36 to 322 of the family's 1533-position model. The record is from RNAcentral. Lineage: Bacteria; Pseudomonadati; Pseudomonadota; Gammaproteobacteria; Enterobacterales; Enterobacteriaceae.